AAUAUUGCGCAAUGGGGGAAACCCUGACGCAGCAACGCCGCGUGAGCGACGAAGGACUUCGGGUCGUAAAGCUCUGUCAAUAGGGACGAAGUCUAAUAAGUAAAUAGCUCAUUAGUGUAAGGUACCAAUACAGGAAGCCCCGGCUACCUACGUGCCAGCAGCCGCGGUAAUACGUAGGGGGCGAGCGUUGUCCGGAAUUACUGGGCGUAAAGGGCGUGUAGGCGGCUAGAUAAGUCAGGUGUGAAAACUGUGGGCUCAACCCAGAGAUUGCACCUGAAACUGUCUAGCUUGAGGGUAGGAGAGGAAAGUGGAAUUCCUAGUGUAGCGGUGAAAUGCGUAGAUAUUAGGAGGAACACCAGUGGCGAAGGCGACUUUCUGGCCUAACCCUGACGCUGAGGCGCGAAAGCGUGGGGAGCAAAC
This 420-nucleotide ribosomal RNA is filed under the name uncultured bacterium. Its description in RNAcentral is "partial 16S ribosomal RNA". It matches the Rfam family "Bacterial small subunit ribosomal RNA", at positions 360 to 773 of the family's 1533-position model. The record is from RNAcentral.